UGGGGCCGCGACGGCGUCUUGAUUCCCUCUGGCCCCCCGGCUUUCGCGGGCGGGGCCGCGACAGCGUCUCAGACCCACAGGUUCCCCACCUGCCCACCAGGGCUCUCAGUGACCGUUGGGAUAAGCAGUCCCGCCAUCCACCUAUUUUUCUGCACGAGGAGGGGUGCAGUGACUUACAGAGGAAGUGGCAGAACCGGGGUUCCAGAUUCCAGCGCCUCCCCCAUACCGUGACUGUUGCGUCCCUUUUCUUAAAAAAUGGAUAAACAGGGCCCCCACAAAGGAGCAGCGGCUGGCCCCAAGACGCAAAGUCACCUGCGAACCAGGAAGCAGGAGACCCCACCAGUUCCCAAGUGGUGGCUAUGGGCAUGACAUUGACCUCCCACCCCAUCAAUAAGAAGAAAAAACACGAGAGGGGAUUCUGGUCUUUAUUUGCAAGCCCAGCCUGCAGCUCCCUCCGCCCAGCCCAGCCCAGGCGGCGAUGGGGUGGGGGCCUCUUCGUGGGGCGGGAAGAGAUACCCGUGGUCCGACUCAAAACGUGUGCACCAGCUGGACCGCGGGCAGAGUCUGGACAAUCUGGAUGGAAGGCAGGCCCUGUGGGGCCACGCCCCCGGGUGCCGCUCCUGCGGGGACCACUUGUACCAUCUGGGGGCCCGGGGCCGCAGGGACACCCGCAGGAGCAGAGGCUGGGCCAGGUGGGGGGGGCGCCAGUAGCUGCAGCGCAGCGGCGCCUCCCCCAGCGCUGCCGUUCUCCAGCAACUCUGCGGCUGGGGCGCUGCGGAUAAUGAGCAGCUUCUGUCCGGGCGGGCCUGAGGCGGGCGGCUCGGCCAGACCCGACGGUAAGGUCUCUACCUCCUGCACACACAGCUGGGUCUGCUCCCCGUCGGCCCCGCUCAGCACCAGCACGCUCUGCAGUCCCUCCUCCGUCUGCAGCGUCUCAAAGAGCACAUCUGGGACUACCCCCGGGCCGCCCCCGCCCUCGCCAGGCUCCACUGGGCCAGGGUCCGCCAGUAACUCCUCAGCUGCCCCGCUCUGAACCACUAGCAGAUUAGGCGCCUCGGUGGUCACGGCUCCCUCCCUGGAACUGCUGGACCGUGGUCACCUCCUGGGCCGGCUGGAGUUGGACGGUGGUCAGUUCCGGGGCUGGACGAAGGGGCUGGAGCUGAACCCCACUCACUUCCUGUGGGCCUGUUUCCCCACCCGCCACGUUCUGCAGAACUAUGAGGCUCUGCCCUCCCACGUUCCCCGCAGCGUUGCUUCCUCUCUGCACUCCUAACCCCCCAGGGCCCGGCAGCCAGACCACUCCCUCCCCCCGCCCCCCCUUCCCCUCCCCC
This 1331-nucleotide long non-coding RNA is filed under the name Ovis aries (sheep). RNAcentral describes it as "lncRNA (ENSOARG00000026943.1)". The record is from RNAcentral. Lineage: Eukaryota; Metazoa; Chordata; Mammalia; Artiodactyla; Bovidae.